UACGUAGGUGGCAAGCGUUGUCCGGAUUUAUUGGGUUUAAAGAAUGCGUAGGCAACCUUGUAAGUCAAUAAUGAAAUAUGGCAGCUUAACUAUCAAGGUGCCAUUGAUACUGCGGAGCUUGAGUACAGAUGAGGUAGGCGGAAUUGACGGUGUAGCGGUGAAAUGCUUAGAUAUCGUCAAGAACACCUAUAGCGAAAGCAACUUACUAAGCUGUAACUGACGCUGAGGCACGAAAGUGUGGGGAUCAAACAGG
Molecule: ribosomal RNA, 253 nt
Filed under: uncultured bacterium
Lineage: Bacteria
Description: partial 16S ribosomal RNA
Rfam family: Bacterial small subunit ribosomal RNA
Source: RNAcentral